GGAUAAAAGGUACUCCGGGGAUAACAGGCUGAUACCGCCCAAGAGUUCAUAUCGACGGCGGUGUUUGGCACCUCGAUGUCGGCUCAUCACAUCCUGGGGCUGAAGUAGGUCCCAAGGGUAUGGCUGUUCGCCAUUUAAAGUGGUACGCGAGCUGGGUUUAGAACGUCGUGAGACAGUUCGGUCCCUAUCUGCCGUGGGCGCUGGAGAACUGAGGGGGGCUGCUCCUAGUACGAGAGGACCGGAGUGGACGCAUCACUGGUGUUCGGGUUGUCAUGCCAAUGGCACUGCCCGGUAGCUAAAUGCGGAAGAGAUAAGUGCUGAAAGCAUCUAAGCACGAAACUUGCCCCGAGAUGAGUUCUCCCUGACUCCUUGAGAGUCCUGAAGGAACGUUGAAGACGACGACGUUGAUAGGCCGGGUGUGUAAGCGCAGCGAUGCGUUGAGCUAACCGGUACUAAUGAACCGUGAGGCUUAACCUUACAACGCCGAAG
Molecule: ribosomal RNA, 489 nt
Filed under: Escherichia coli
Lineage: Bacteria; Pseudomonadati; Pseudomonadota; Gammaproteobacteria; Enterobacterales; Enterobacteriaceae
Description: bacterial LSU rRNA
Rfam family: Bacterial large subunit ribosomal RNA
Source: RNAcentral